GGGGAUUUAGCUCAGUGGUAGAGCACUUGCCUAGCAAGCACAAGGCCCUGGGUUCGAUCCUCAGCUCUG
Molecule: transfer RNA, 69 nt
Filed under: Neotoma lepida (desert woodrat)
Lineage: Eukaryota; Metazoa; Chordata; Mammalia; Rodentia; Cricetidae
Also listed under: 1 other name
Rfam family: tRNA
About the family: Transfer RNA (tRNA) molecules are approximately 80 nucleotides in length. Their secondary structure includes four short double-helical elements and three loops (D, anti-codon, and T loops). Further hydrogen bonds mediate the characteristic L-shaped molecular structure. tRNAs have two regions of fundamental functional importance: the anti-codon, which is responsible for specific mRNA codon recognition, and the 3' end, to which the tRNAs corresponding amino acid is attached (by aminoacyl-tRNA synthetases). tRNAs cope with the degeneracy of the genetic code in two manners: having more than one tRNA (with a specific anti-codon) for a particular amino acid; and 'wobble' base-pairing, i.e. permitting non-standard base-pairing at the 3rd anti-codon position.
Source: Rfam by way of RNAcentral